GACCUCAAAUCAGGUAGGAACACCCGCUGAACUUAAGCAUAUCAAUAAGCGGAGGAAAAGAAAAUAACAAUGAUUCCCCUAGUAACUGCGAGUGAAGAGGGACAAGCUCAAAUUUUAAAUCUGUCGGGUUUUACCUGAUCGAGUUGUAAUUUGAAGAAGCGUUUUCUGCGUAUUUGGUCAGCCCAAGUCCUAUUGAAUGAGGCAUCAUGGAGGGUGAUAAUCCCGUCCGGUUGAUCAUUGCGUUUUAUGACACGCUUUCUAAGAGUCAAGUUGUUUGGGAUUGCAGCUUAAAAUGGGAGGUAAAUUUCUCCUAAGGCUAAAUAACGGCGAGAGACCGAUAGCGAACAAGUACCGUGAGGGAAAGAUGAAAAGAACUUUGAAAAGAGAGUUAAACAGUACGUGAAAUUGUUGAAAGGGAAACGAUUGAAGCCAGUCGUACCUAUGGGUAAUCAGCCUUUUGGGUGUGAUUUUGUGGAGCGUGAGGAGUUAAACGCCUUCAUGCCUGCAUAUUCGUGCACUUUGGGUGUACUUGCCCGUGUGUAAGUUAACAUCAAUUUUGGUGGUCAUAAAAUGGCUGGAGGAAUGUAGCUUCGAUCUUGUAUUGAAGUGUUAUAGCCUUCGGUAGAUGUGACGAUCGGGAUUGAGGAUUGCAACGGAUACCCUUCGGGGCUACCUGUCUGAUCUCUGAUUGUUGCUCUGGUACCGAAAGCUUGCUUACGGUUAUCAAAGUCGAUGGUCAAUAGGUUAGAACGGGUUAAAUUCGUUAAGGAUGUUGACGUAAUGGCUUUAAACGACCCGUCUUGAAACACGGACCAAGGAGUCUAACAUAUAUGCGAGUGUUAGGGUGAAUAAACCCUUACGCGUAAUGAAAGUAAUUUUGGUGGGAUCACUUUUGUGCACCAUCGACCGAUCAGGAUAUUUUUUGAUAGAUUUGAGUAAGAGC
Molecule: ribosomal RNA, 943 nt
Filed under: Rhizophagus irregularis
Lineage: Eukaryota; Fungi; Glomeromycota; Glomeromycetes; Glomerales; Glomeraceae
Description: eukaryotic LSU rRNA
Rfam family: Eukaryotic large subunit ribosomal RNA
Source: RNAcentral